AGCGGCGGACGGGUGAGUAACACGUGGGUAACCUGCCUGUAAGACUGGGAUAACUCCGGGAAACCGGGGCUAAUACCGGAUGCUUGAUUGAACCGCAUGGUUCAAUCAUAAAAGGUGGCUUUCAGCUACCACUUGCAGAUGGACCCGCGGCGCAUUAGCUAGUUGGUGAGGUAACGGCUCACCAAGGCGACGAUGCGUAGCCGACCUGAGAGGGUGAUCGGCCACACUGGGACUGAGACACGGCCCAGACUCCUACGGGAGGCAGCAGUAGGGAAUCUUCCGCAAUGGACGAAAGUCUGACGGAGCAACGCCGCGUGAGUGAUGAAGGUUUUCGGAUCGUAAAACUCUGUUGUUAGGGAAGAACAAGUACCGUUCGAAUAGGGCGGUACCUUGACGGUACCUAACCAGAAAGCCACGGCUAACUACGUGCCAGCAGCCGCGGUAAUACGUAGGUGGCAAGCGUUGUCCGGAAUUAUUGGGCGUAAAGCGCGCGCAGGCGGUUUCUUAAGUCUGAUGUGAAAGCCCCCGGCUCAACCGGGGAGGGUCAUUGGAAACUGGGGAACUUGAGUGCAGAAGAGGAGAGUGGAAUUCCACGUGUAGCGGUGAAAUGCGUAGAGAUGUGGAGGAACACCAGUGGCGAAGGCGACUCUCUGGUCUGUAACUGACGCUGA
Molecule: ribosomal RNA, 671 nt
Filed under: uncultured Bacillus sp.
Lineage: Bacteria; Bacillati; Bacillota; Bacilli; Caryophanales; Bacillaceae
Description: bacterial SSU rRNA
Rfam family: Bacterial small subunit ribosomal RNA
Source: RNAcentral